RNAcentral lists this ribosomal RNA (423 nucleotides) under Aoraki denticulata. RNAcentral describes it as "partial 16S ribosomal RNA". The stretch from base 284 to 423 matches the Rfam family "Bacterial large subunit ribosomal RNA", at positions 2473 to 2612 of the family's 2925-position model. Lineage: Eukaryota; Metazoa; Arthropoda; Arachnida; Opiliones; Pettalidae. The record is from RNAcentral.
UAAAUUGUUCAUUAAUUGUGAUCUAGUAUGAAGGAAAAAAUAGUUUAACACUGUCUUGGAAUUUUAUUUUUUGAAUUUAAAAUUUUUGUCAAAAUGCAAAAAUUAUAUUUAGGGACAAGAAGACCCUAUAAAGCUUAUCUAAUAAGUAGUUUUUAAUAUUACAAAUUUAGUUUAAUUGGGGCAAUGAUUUAAUUAUAAUAGAUUUAAAUUUAAUAUAAAUAUUGAUGUAAUUUCUGUAGAUAUAAGAUCCAUUAUUAAUGAAGAAUGAAAAAGUUACUUUAGGGAUAACAGGAUAAUUUUUAUUAGGAAGCACUUAUUAAUAAUAAAGUUUAUUACCUCGAUGUUGAAUUAAUUUAAUCCUAUGGUGAAGUAGCUUUUUGUAUUUGACUGUUCGUCAAUUAAAUAAUUACAUGAUCUGAGUUC